AAGUUAUAUAUACAUGGUUAAAUUAAUAAAUGCCUUUAGAAAUGUGAGCCUUGGUUAUACACAGGGAGUCUGGCUUGCAAAGCUAGGUCAAAGGUUACUAUCAACAGGCCUUCAUCAAUCUAUCUUAACAUGAACCAUAUGUGGUGACCAUCCAUAUACAAUGAAAGUCUGUAAUACUAGUUACAUCCUGUGUCUGAAAGAAGUUUGAAUAAAGACUUUAUAAUAUUCAUAACACAAAAGCAAGAUUCUACA
Non-coding RNA from Pelobates cultripes (western spadefoot toad), 252 nucleotides. The record is from the annotation of a GenBank genome assembly. NCBI's taxonomy places the organism in Eukaryota, Metazoa, Chordata, Amphibia, Anura, Pelobatidae.